AAUAUAAUGUGUUGUGAAUGUUCCAUGCUCUGUCCUUGUGGAUGUCUCCUUCCUAUUUCUAGGUCUGUGGGAAUUCUGGGAAGGUGGUAGAGAAGCAUCAGGUGUUAUAGGAGAAAAGGCCUUCAAUUGUCUUAAGGAUGGUGUGAGAAGCUUACUCCUCCUGAAUCCCAGCCAGGACCAACUAGACAUUUGGGUUCAUGCUCUUUCCAGCCCACCGUGUUGCUUCUCUCGUUCCAUAAAGCCAUCACUGCAAUGCUCACGGUUGAAGAUGGACGGUGUGUUAAAGAAGUGGAUGGCAUAUAGAAGCAUGGAUUCUGGACAUGGCUGUGCCACUAAGUACAGAAGUAACAUGAGUGAGAAUAUAGAUCAGCACCCCCUUUCUAAAGAAGAGGAAACACACUUCACAUAA
This 409-nucleotide long non-coding RNA is filed under the name Canis lupus familiaris (dog). RNAcentral's name for it is "lncRNA (ENSCAFG00000046220.2)". Lineage: Eukaryota; Metazoa; Chordata; Mammalia; Carnivora; Canidae. The record is from RNAcentral.